GACGAACGCUGUCGGCGUGCUUAACACAUGCAAGUCGAACGGAAAGGCCCUGCUUUUGUGGGGUGCUCGAGUGGCGAACGGGUGAGUAACACGUGAGUAACCUGCCCUUGACUUUGGGAUAACUUCAGGAAACUGGGGCUAAUACCGGAUAGGAGCUCCUGCUGCAUGGUGGGGGUUGGAAAGUUUCGGCGGUUGGGGAUGGACUCGCGGCUUAUCGGCUUGUUGGUGGGGUAGUGGCUUACCAAGGCUUUGACGGGUAGCCGGCCUGAGAGGGUGACCGGCCACAUUGGGACUGAGAUACGGCCCAGACUCCUACGGGAGGCAGCAGUGGGGAAUAUUGCACAAUGGGCGGAAGCCUGAUGCAGCAACGCCGCGUGCGGGAUGACGGCCUUCGGGUUGUAAACCGCUUUCGCCUGUGACGAAGCGUGAGUGACGGUAAUGGGUAAAGAAGCACCGGCUAACUACGUGCCAGCAGCCGCGGUGAUACGUAGGGUGCGAGCGUUGUCCGGAUUUAUUGGGCGUAAAGGGCUCGUAGGUGGUUGAUCGCGUCGGAAGUGUAAUCUUGGGGCUUAACCCUGAGCGUGCUUUCGAUACGGGUUGACUUGAGGAAGGUAGGGGAGAAUGGAGUUCCUGGUGGAGCGGUGGAAUGCGCAGAUAUCAGGAGGAACACCAGUGGCGAAGGCGGUUCUCUGGGCCUUUCCUGACGCUGAGGAGCGAAAGCGUGGGGAGCGAACAGGCUUAGAUACCCUGGUAGUCCACGCUGUAAACGGUGGGUACUAGGUGUGGGGUCCAUUCCACGGGUUCCGUGCCGUAGCUAACGCUUUAAGUACCCCGCCUGGGGAGUACGGCCGCAAGGCUAAAACUCAAAGGAAUUGACGGGGCCCCGCACAAGCGGCGGAGCAUGCGGAUUAAUUCGAUGCAACGCGUAGAACCUUACCUGGGUUUGACAUGGAUCGGGAGUGCUCAGAGAUGGGUGUGCCUCUUUUGGGGUCGGUUCACAGGUGGUGCAUGCCUGUCGUCAGCUCGUGUCGUGAGAUGUUGGGUUAAGUCCCGCAACGAGCGCAACCCUUGUUCACUGUUGCCAGCACGUUAUGGUGGGGACUCAGUGGAGACCGCCGGGGUCAACUCGGAGGAAGGUGGGGAUGACGUCAAGUCAUCAUGCCCCUUAUGUCCAGGGCUUCACGCAUGCUACAAUGGCUGGUACAGAGAGUGGCGAGCCUGUGAGGGUGAGCGAAUCUCGGAAAGCCGGUCUCAGUUCGGAUUGGGGUCUGCAACUCGACCUCAUGAAGUCGGAGUCGCUAGUAAUCGCAGAUCAGCAACGCUGCGGUGAAUACGUUCCCGGG
Molecule: ribosomal RNA, 1343 nt
Filed under: uncultured bacterium
Lineage: Bacteria
Description: 16S ribosomal RNA
Rfam family: Bacterial small subunit ribosomal RNA
Source: RNAcentral